UGGGGAAUAUUGGACAAUGGGCGAAAGCCUGAUCCAGCCAUGCCGCGUGUGUGAAGAAGGUCUUCGGAUUGUAAAGCACUUUACGUUGGGAGGAAGGGCAUUAACCUAAUACGUUAGUGUUUUGACGUUACCGACAGAAUAAGCACCGGCUAACUCUGUGCCAGCAGCCGCGGUAAUACAGAGGGUGCAAGCGUUAAUCGUAAUUACUGGGCGUAAAGCGCGCGUAGGUGGUUUGUUAAGUUGGAUGUGAAAUCCCCGGGCUCAACCUGGGAACUGCAUUCAAAACUGACUGACUAGAGUAUGGUAGAGGGUGGUGGAAUUUCCUGUGUAGCGGUGAAAUGCGUAGAUAUAGGAAGGAACACCAGUGGCGAAGGCGACCACCUGGACUAAUACUGACACUGAGGUGCGAAAGCGUGGGGAGCAAACA
This 427-nucleotide ribosomal RNA is filed under the name uncultured bacterium. RNAcentral's name for it is "partial 16S ribosomal RNA". It matches the Rfam family "Bacterial small subunit ribosomal RNA", at positions 355 to 774 of the family's 1533-position model. The record is from RNAcentral.